UACGUAGGAGGCGAGCGUUGUCCGGAUUUACUGGGCGUAAAGGGCGCGUAGGCGGCCCCCUGAGUCCCGCGUGAAAUCUCCCGGCUCAACCGGGAGGGUGCGCGGGAUACUGGGGGGCUGGAGGGCAUCAGAGGGAAGCGGAAUCCCCGGUGUAGUGGUGAAAUGCGUAGAUAUCAAGUGGAACACCAGUGGCGAAGGCGAGUCUCUGGACAUUUCCUGACGCUGAGGCACGAAAGCCAGGGGAGCAAACGGG
Molecule: ribosomal RNA, 253 nt
Filed under: uncultured bacterium
Lineage: Bacteria
Description: partial 16S ribosomal RNA
Rfam family: Bacterial small subunit ribosomal RNA
Source: RNAcentral